GACGAACGCUGGCGGCGUGCUUAACACAUGCAAGUCGAACGAUGAAGCUGGAGCUUGCUCCGGUGGAUUAGUGGCGAACGGGUGAGUAACACGUGAGCAAUCUGCCCUUGACUCUGGGAUAACUGCGGGAAACUGUAGCUAAUACCGGAUACGAGGCUCGAAGGCAUCUUCGGGUCUGGAAAGAAUUUCGGUCAAGGAUGAGCUCGCGGCCUAUCAGCUUGUCGGUGAGGUAACGGCUCACCAAGGCGAUGACGGGUAGCUGGCCUGAGAGGAUGAUCAGCCUCGAUGGGACUGAGACACGGCCCAUACUCCUACGGGAGGCAGCAGUUGGGGAUUUUGCACAAUGGAGGCAACUCUGAUGCAGCGACACUGCGUGAAGGAUGAAGGUUUUAGGAUCGUAAGCUUCUUUUGCGAGGGAGUAAUCUUGAAAGUACCUCGCGAAUAAGGACCUGCUAACUACGUGCCAGCAGCCGCGGUAA
Molecule: ribosomal RNA, 479 nt
Filed under: uncultured bacterium
Lineage: Bacteria
Description: partial 16S ribosomal RNA
Rfam family: Bacterial small subunit ribosomal RNA
Source: RNAcentral